RNAcentral lists this ribosomal RNA (733 nucleotides) under uncultured eukaryote. Its description in RNAcentral is "SSU rRNA". It matches the Rfam family "Eukaryotic small subunit ribosomal RNA", at positions 557 to 1295 of the family's 1831-position model. The record is from RNAcentral.
UAGUCUGGUGCCAGCAGCCGCGGUAAUUCCAGCUCCAAUAGCGUAUAUUAAAGUUGUUGCGGUUAAAAAGCUCGUAGUUGGAUUUCUGUCGAGGGUGGGCGGUCCGCACUAUGUGCGUGUAUCUGUUACGGCCUUGGCAUCCUCUUGGGGAACGUGUCUGUGCUUGAUUGCAUGGCGCGGUAUUCAAGACUUUUACUUUGAGGAAAUUAGAGUGCUCACGGCAAGCAUAGCUUUGAAUACAUUAGCAUGGAAUAAUAAUAUAGGACAUUCGUACUAUUUUGUUGGUUUCUAGAACGAGUGUAAUGAUUAAUAGGGAUAAUUGGGGGCAUUCGUAUUAACGCGUCAGAGGUGGAAUUCUUGGAUUGCGUUACGACGAACUACUGCGAAAGCAUUUGCCAAGGAUGUUUUCAUUGAUCAAGAACGAAAGUAUGGGGAUCGAAGACGAUUAGAUACCGUCGUAGUCUAUACCAUAAACUAUGCCAACUAGAGAUGGGAGGUCGUUCUUUUUAUGACUCCUUCCGCACCUUAUGAGAAAUCAAAGUUUUUGGGUUCCGGGGGGAGUAUGGUCGCAAGGCUGAAACUUAAAGGAAUUGACGGAAGGGCACCACCAGGAGUGGAGCCUGCGGCUUAAUUUGACUCAACACGGGAAACCUCACCAGGUCCAGACAUAGUAAGGAUUGACAGAUUGAUAGCUCUUUCUUGAUUCUAUGGGUGGUGGUGCAUGGCCGUUCUU